This 206-nucleotide ribosomal RNA is filed under the name uncultured bacterium. Its description in RNAcentral is "partial 16S ribosomal RNA". It matches the Rfam family "Bacterial small subunit ribosomal RNA", at positions 568 to 774 of the family's 1533-position model. The record is from RNAcentral.
CGCGUAGGCGGUUUGGUAAGUCGGAUGUGAAAAUCCGGGCUCAACCCCGGACCUGCAUCCGAUACUGCCCGACUAGAGGUAGGUAGGGGAGAUCGGAAUUCCUGGUGUAGCGGUGAAAUGCGCAGAUAUCAGGAGGAACACCGGUGGCGAAGGCGGAUCUCUGGGCCUUACCUGACGCUGAGGCGCGAAAGCUAGGGGAGCGAACA